Molecule: long non-coding RNA, 1294 nt
Organism: Nematostella vectensis (starlet sea anemone)
Lineage: Eukaryota; Metazoa; Cnidaria; Anthozoa; Actiniaria; Edwardsiidae
Exons: 2
Source: RefSeq, a predicted model, not a curated record
CUCAAAAACACGUUCACAUAUCUUCCAGUUCCGAUGGAGAGGGUAGCUUAGAGAGCGCCUGCAGCAUGCUGAGACGACAUCGUGCAGACUGGUGAACGACUUAAGGGAACACACAACAGGUUGGGCUGGCUGCAAAAAUACAAUCAUCGGCAGAGGACUAGUAGUACUAGUUCUUAAACAUAUAUUAGCGAUAAUUUGAAUCUUUCAGGGUGUUGGCAUGCAAGGCACCCCAAACUUUUUUUAUUCUAGUGCUCAUGGUGUUUGUCCAGUUAAAGGCAAGUUGGAGUAAAUAAAGUAACUUAGUCUAACAGGUCCAGGAAAAGGGCUAGUAGUUCUGUGAGAAUCAAUCUUUUCUUACAGUGUUCUCGCCCUCAGUUGUCCUAUAGUUAUACGCAUAUGCAAACAUGAUGUCCACCAGCCCCAACAGUAGACUCUUCUGUUCACCCUCAUCUAGAAUGUCUAUUUUUUUUGGGUGUGAAGGAAACAUUUUAUAAUGAAGUACAGUGGAACCUGGAUUUUAGGAUAUGCCUCAGGAGAAAGAAAAAUCAUAAAAUCGAGGUAUUGUUGUAAAUAGGUCCUCAAUUUUACGAUAUUUAGGAUAAUCUAUUGAAAAUAUCAUUGUAGCGAGGUUGUGUUAAUAAUCAACUUUUACAAAAUAUUGUACCCGUACUCUGUGAAAGAGUGUUCACAGUUACUCUUUGUAGAAAUCUGUUUCGAGACCUGUCAAGUUAAAAAAUCGAUUAGCUGUACAGUAAGUAUCUGGUGUCUUGAGUUGUUUUCUCUCUGUUGAUAGAAAGAAUCAGUAAUAUUGAUUAAUCAAGGUUAAAAUUAAGCUCGGGAGAACAGAUUUGUAUUGUAAAAUCGAGAAUAUCGUUGUAUCCAAUAUUGUAAAAUAGGUAAUUUCUUAUACAUUUCACUGUAUUUCCGUUAGGAGAAAGGAACACCAUCGUAAAACCAAGGUUAACGUAAAAUCUAGUAUCGUAAAAUCCAGGUUACAAUGUAUAGGGUUUUAUGCCUAUAUGAAACUUUGCCCUAACUUAAAUUUGGAAAUCAAAGGAUACAUUCUUUGUUUGGCAAUCUUCUCAUUUUAUCUUUCUCCUUCUCUGUAAGUUGAACUGUUAAGUGAGACAAGACAAGUUAAUAAAUAUGUGGACAAAUGAAUAAAAAUGUGAAACUUACUUAUUGCUAAAAAACUAUAAAUAUCAGUACCUGUAUUUUCUGACUGGUUAUUAAUUUCUUCGUUCUCACUAUUAGAAUAAAAAAAAAAAAAACAUUAAACACAUUUAUUGCCACU